Molecule: ribosomal RNA, 612 nt
Filed under: Martinezella rhizogenes
Lineage: Bacteria; Pseudomonadati; Pseudomonadota; Alphaproteobacteria; Hyphomicrobiales; Rhizobiaceae
Description: partial 23S ribosomal RNA
Rfam family: Bacterial large subunit ribosomal RNA
Source: RNAcentral
GAAGAAGUGAAUUAAGGGCAUUUGGUGGAUGCCUUGGCAUGCACAGGCGAAGAAGGACGUGAUACGCUGCGAAAAGCCGUGGGGAGCUGCGAAUAAGCUUUGAUCCAUGGAUCUCCGAAUGGGGCAACCCACCUUAAAUACCUAGAAAAUCUGUUUUGCAGACACCUUGAAUAAGACUUUUGAUCGGUUUGCAUGGGACUUCCCAUACAGACCGUUAGGUCGUCGCCAAUCGUUUGGCGCGCCGUCCGCAGGCCUUCGGCCGUGAGGACAAAAGAGACCCCGGCGAUACCGGGUUCAGGGGGUCGGCAAAAGAGGUUUCUAGGUAUUGUUAUAAGGUAUCUUACUUUCGAAUACAUAGGGGUAAGAAGCGAACGCAGGGAACUGAAACAUCUAAGUACCUGCAGGAAAGGACAUCAACCGAGACUCCGCAAGUAGUGGCGAGCGAACGCGGACCAGGCCAGUGGCAAUGAUGAAUAAAGCGGAACGAUCUGGAAAGGUCGGCCAUAGAGGGUGAUAGCCCCUUACGCGUAGAACAGUCAUUGUCCUUGAGUAGGGCGGGACACGUGAAAUCCUGUCUGAACAUGGGGAGACCACUCUCCAAGCCUAAGUAGU